This 7662-nucleotide long non-coding RNA is filed under the name Capsicum annuum. Its description in RNAcentral is "long non-coding RNA (CANN_LNC007498)". The record is from RNAcentral. Lineage: Eukaryota; Viridiplantae; Streptophyta; Magnoliopsida; Solanales; Solanaceae.
ACAAGAUCACAAAGCAUGGUGUCUCGACCCAAAUCAAAUAUGGUAGUGCACAAGACCACAAAGCAUGGCUCCUAACCAUAAUCCCAAUUUAGGAUAAUAUAAUAUCAGGUACGCAAGACCACAAAGCAUGGUACCGAUAUUCUAUGCUGGCAAGCACGUUCUUUCAGUGAUGAGCCGCUUGUGUCUCAAAUGCCUUCUUCGAGCAUCCACCUUUCUCAUGUAAAAUCAAUGCAUUCAAAUUUCAUCUUAUUCAAUCGCAUAUCGUAUUUUGAAGGGUAUCGUCAUACCCGACUUGCAAGUCAUCAAUAUCACAUCCACAUAUGCAUAAUCAUGUAAAAACCAAGGCGCUUCAUCAUUUACAAGUGGUGAACACAAUAUUUAUCAAAUUCAUGCUCUCUUUUGUUAAUCAUAAUAUAAUAUGGAGUAUCAAAACAUUAUCAUGGGAAUUUGAAAACAAUUUAUCAUUCAUAUUUAUCAACUUCCAUGGAAAAUCUCAAAUCACCUAUGCAUGAUUUCAACCAUUAAAGUAUAUAGGCAAACAAUUCCCAUGACAUUAAGAAAACAACUUAGAAAUCAUAUUGAAAGCAAGAUAUUAGCAUUUGAUUAAAAAUCCCCAUUUAAAAGCAUGCAUGUUCAUAAAACUACACCUAUGAGAUUUUUGGAUAACCCCACGUACCUCGAUUACUAUUAAUAUUAGGUGCUUCUUGAAGCCAACGUUGAGAGGAUUCCAAAUAUGCAAUUUGUUUCUAAAACCCACGGUUGAAUCUUGAGUAGCUUGGGUUUUUAUUUUGAAACCCUAAGGAGAAUCUUGAGCACUUUUGAUGAAAGAAUAUGUAUUUUGGGGUCCUUGGAACUAAAAUUCGUGUUUUAGGGCUAAGUAAGGGUGGAAAAGGACCACUUUGUCCUCAACACAGAGUGUUUAAAUUACCAGAAUUCCUUACAUAGGCGCCGCCCAUCCCAUCGCCUAUCUUCACAUAGGCGCCACCUAGGGUAUUGACUAUGUUCGCAUAGGCGCCGCCUAGGCUAUUGCCUUUGCUUUCUAGUGGCCAUGGGAGAUUGGUUAGGCGUCGCUUAUCGCUUUGAAAGGCCAUAACUUCUUGCUCGGGUGUCAGAUUUUAGCCAACUUGGUAUCGUUGGAAAGCUAACUCGAAUACCUAUCAUUUGAAACAUAGUAGGUUCCCUAAUUCGACAUAUACAGAGAGUUAUGGUCGAAGGAAGCUGACACACUUUACAACAUUUACUAAAACUUAGUCGAUCAAAAUAGUUCCAACUUGUCCUUUAGUUGAGGGACCUCUAUGGUCUAAAUUCAAGCUUGAGUGGAUUUCACAUGCUACACGAUAAUUAACAUGCCAUGUUGGCAUAGAAUUUUAUGGCUUCGGGAUUAACAACGCAUCAAAAUCAUGGUCUAUACUGUAGCCCGAAUUGCGGGGCGUUACAUUAUCCCCCCCUUAGGAUCAUUCAUCCCCGAAUGAUGAUGCGAGACACAGGCAGACACGAUUUUAAGCAUAAAAAAAGGACUAGGAAAGAUAAGAUAGGAAUAGUACCUUCUGUCUCCUCCUCCAUCGAAGCAAACAAAUUGGGAUAUCUAAUUCUCAUGUCAUCUUCUGACUCCCAAGUUGCUUCUUCAACUUUUUGAUUCCUCCACCGUACCUUUACUGAGGCUCUCUCUUUGCUCCUCAACUUUUGAACUUAGCGAUCUAAAAUUUCAACGAGCUCUUCUUCGUAAGACAAGGAGUCUGUCACUUUGAUACCCUCUACUAGCAAUACCAUAGAAUGAUCUCCAAUGUAUUUCUUCAACAUGGAUACAUGGAAUACCGGAUGAACGAAACCCAAACUUGCAGGCAAUUCUAACUCAUACGCAACUGUAUCAAUCCUUUUCAAAAUCUGAUAUGGCCUUACAUAACAAGGGCUCAAUUUACCCCUUUUUCCAAACCGCAUAACUUCUUUCAUAGGAGAAACCUUGAUAAACAACCAAUCACCAAUUUCAAACUCUAGUUCUCUUCUCCGAAUAUCGCCAUAGGACUUCUGACGACUCUAAGCUGUCUUGAGUCGUUCUCUAAUGAUCUUCACUUUCACCAUCGCCUGAUGAACAAGAUCAGGCCCAUACAAAUGAGUCUCACCUACUUCAUACCAUCCUAUCGGAGACCUACAUCUCCUCCCAUACAAAGCCUCCCAUCUUGAUACUGGCAUGGUAACUAUUAUUGUAAGCAAAUUCAACAAGUGGCAGGUGAUCUACCCAACUACCUUUGAAAUCAAUAACGCAUGCCCUCAACAUAUCUUCGAGGGUCUGAAUAGUAUGCUCAGCUUGCCCAUCCAUCUGAGGGUGGAAAGCUAUGCUCAAAUUCACUUGUGUACCUAAACCCUUCUGAAAAGAUCUCCAAAAUUGAGAUGAAAACUGCGUACCUCUAUUGGAUAUAAUGGACACUGGUGACCCAUGCAAUUGAACUAUCUCCUCAAUGUAAAUCUUAGCAUAAACCGCUCCCGAAUAAUUAGUCCUCAUAGGCAAAAAGUGGGCUGACUUGGUCAACCGAUCUACAAUCACCCAUAUAGAAUUAUACUAUUUUCGAGAUCUUGGAAGUCCUAUAAUGAAGUCCAUGUUUAUCAUCUCCCACUUCCAUAAAGGCAGGGCUAUCUCUUGGGAAGUACCACCUGGCCUCAUGUGUUCUACCUUCACUUGUUGACAGUUCAAACACUUGGACACAAAAUCAGCUACAUCACGUUUCAUGUUAUUCCACCAAUACAAGGUUUUCAAAUCAUGGUACAUCUUAGUAGAGCCUGGGUGAAUGAUAUAACUAGAAGUGUACACCUCAUUAAGGAUUCUUUCCCGUAUCCCAUCGACAUUCGGAACACAAAACCUACCCUGAAAUCUCAGAAUACCAUCGCCACUAAUUUCAAACGACAUAACCUUUUGUUGACCCACAUCUUUCUUGAUUUGCAUCAAGAUGGGAUCUUUAACCUGCUUUUCCUUAACUUCAGCACAAAGAGAUGACUUAGCCAACUCAUGAACAAUCACCCCUCCAUCUUCGAAAUCUAAGAGUCGCACUCCCAAAUUUGCAAGGCAGUAAAUAUCCUUCACCAUUUCUUUCUUUCUUUCUUCUACAUGAGAAAGGCUGCCCAUAGAAAACCUGCUGAGGGCGUUGGCUACAACAUUUGCCUUGCCCGGAGGGUAAUGCAGACUCAUAUCAUAGUCUUUCAAAAGCUCCAUCCAACGCCUCUGCCUGAGGUUCAAUUCUUUCUGUGAGAAAACAUACUGUAAAGUCUUAUGGUCGAUAUAAAUAUCGACAUGCACUCCAUAGAGAUAGUGCCUCCAGAUUCUAAGUGAAAACACCACGGCUGCUAACUCCAAGUCAUGAGUGGGGUAAUUGCGCUCAUGCACCUUUAGCUGCCUAGAUGCAUAAGCAAUCACCUUACCACACUGCAUCAAUACACAACCAAGUCCCACAUGGGACGUAUCACAAUAAACCACAAAAUCAUCUAUACCCUCGGGAAGGGUCAAAACAGGAGCAGUAGUCAGCUUGUCCUUCAAUUUCUCAAAACUAUUUUCACACAAGUCAGACCAUACAAACUUCAUCUUUUUCUGAGUUAGUUUAGUAAGCGGAGCGGCUAUGGAAGAAAAACUCUCUACAAACCAUCUGUAAUACCCCGCCAAACCCAAGAAGCUCUGAAUAGCGGUUGGAGUCGUGGGCCUGGGCCAUUUUCUCACUGCUUCAACUUUAUGGGGAUCCCCUCUUAUCCCGUCACUGGACACAAUAUGCCCUAGGAAGGCAAUAGCGUCUAACCAGAAUUCACACUUAGAAAAUUUGACAUACAACUGAUGAUUCUUAAGGGUCUGAAGGAUAAUUUUGAGGUGAUUGGCGUGAUCCUCAUUAUUCAUAGAAUAGAUCAGAAUCUCAUCAAUAAAUACAAUGACGAACAAGUCAAGAAAUUGAUGGAACACUCUAUUCAUAAGAUCCAUGAAGGCUGCAGGGGCGUUAGUCAACCCGAAGGACAUGACUAGAAAUUCGUAGUGACCAUAUCGUGUUCGGAAGGCUGUCUUGGGUAUGUCUGACUCCCUAACUUUCAACUGAUGAUAACCCGAACGAAGGUCUAUUUUUGAAAAACACUUGGCAUCGCAUGAAGAGCACGGGUGCACCCCAUGGGGAAACACUAGGACGAAUAAAACCUUUGUCUAGGAGGUCUGCAAGCUGUUCCUUUAGCUCCUUUAGUUCUGCUGGAGCCAUUCUAUAUGUCGGAAUAUAAAUAGGACGAGUGUCUAGCAACACAUCAAUGCUAAAAUUUAUCUUCCUACCAGGGGGUAUCCCUGGGAGAUCUUCGGGAAAGACUUCUGGGAAUUCAUUCACUACAGGGAGUGACUGCAGAGGAAGGUUUCCAACUUUUGAAUCUGUUACUUGGAUUAGAUGAUACGUACAAACUUUAGAGAUAAGCUUUUGGGCUCUAAGAUAAGAGAUAAAGUGACCUCUAGGUUCCACAGAACUCCCUGCCCAAGCAACUGGUGUCUCAUUCGGGAAAGAAAAAGUGACCUUUCGAGUUCUGCAAUCAAGGGUGGCAUAACAUGAAUGGAGCCAGUCCAUCCCAAGGAUGGCAUCAAAGUCUAUCAUAUUCAGUUCUAUAAGGUCUGCCACAGUUUCCCUACCGUGACUAGAGACGACAUAAUUUCUAUAUACCCUUUUAGCAACAAUAGAAUCACCUACAGGAGUAGAAAUAGAGAAGGGUUCUAUAAUAACUUCAGGCUCAAACCUGAAACCAAUAGCUACAUAAUGGGUCACAUAAGAUAAAGUGGACUCGGGAUCAAGAAAUACAUAAACAUCACGAGAAAAGAUUCGUAACAUACCGGUGACAACAUCUGGAGAAGCUUCCGCCUCCUGGCGGUUAGUCAAAGAAAAUAACCGGUUGCGACCUCUUCCGAAAGCUGAAGGGGCACCCUUAGGAAAAGGAGCUGUGGAGGUAGCUUGGGACUUAACCCCCCCCCCCCCCCAUAUUUACUCCAGCACAAGGAUAAUCUCUCUGAAGGUGACCCAUUUUGCCAUAAGUAUAGCAGUUUCUUCCCUCAAACCAGCACUUCCCUAGAUGAUUUGUUCCGCAAACCUCACACCGCGGAUGAGUACGAUGCUGUUGGGCCACACUGCCCUGAGACUAUGUACCUAGAGCUUUGGACCCAUGAGGAGUCUGAAAACUCUGAGUUUGUCUGUCUGUCGGUGAUCUGGUUGCUGGGGCGCUGCCUGCUGACUGUUCAUUAUUCCAAAACUUCUUCUUCUUCGACCACUUAAUACCCCAGUUACCACUCUGUGGUUGACUCUGGCACUGGUCCGCAGAUCUAGCAUUCUUCGCCUGUCUUUCUUUCUCUCUAGAUUCAGAAACCUUUUUCUUCUUCUCUUCCACUUGAUGUAUAUGAACGGUCAGUCGAAAAAAGUCUAACUCCUUAUUCAAGAUAGCCCCCUGGCACUCAAGUACUAGGUCAUCAGCAAGGCCAGAUGCAAAUUUCCUCAUUCGGGCCCUCAUAUUACUAGUCAACUCUGGUGCAUAGCGGGCUAGUUUAUUAAACUUCAAAGUGUACUCCUGGACACUCAUACUGCCCUGCUUUAGAUUCAUAAACUCUUCUGCUUUGGCCUCUCUCAACUCUAGAGGAAAGAAUCGAUCAAGGAAGGCUUCCACAAAUUCACCCCAAACUGUGGGCUCAGCACUUUUACCUUUUUCAUCUUCCUAGUCGGCAUACCAUUGACUCACAACGUCCUUGAGACGAUAGGUUGCUAACUCCACCCCUUCAACCUCAUCCACAUGCAUCACCUUAAAGAUCUUUUCCGUCUCAUCCACGAACUCCUAUGGAUAUUUCUCUACCUUGGUGCUAGUGAACUUAGGUGGGUUUAUCUUCAUGAAAUGUUUGACUCUAGUAGCCUCAGAUGUAACAGAUGCAGAUGCAACAUCUUUCGAUUGUUGAGCUUGGUUGGCUACCAACUACGUCAGCAUAUGAAUAGACUGUCUGAAUUCUGUAUUUGAAAUAUCUCCCUGAGCAGUUGAGGGACGGUUGACAUUAGUCCACAGAGCCCGAGGUGGACUGGUCAGGACUGGAGGGACUCCCGGAGUAGGGACAAAUUAUGGAGUGUGAGCCCUAUUACGGGUCCACAUCCCAUGGGUGGGACGGAACUCAUCUGCCUAUGCAUUUUGAUCGACGAUAUGACGUGGAGGCAUAACAGUUUAGAAUAUGAAGCACGAACUAAAUCACAAAGAAGGGAAACAUUUCCUAAACGCCUAGUAGCCUCCUGCUUAUAAGUGUGGCACACUACACACCCAUAGCACACUACACACCCAUAAAAAAGACUCUACCCGAUGCAUUUUUGCAGACAGCCUAGGACCAUGAACCGCGCUUUGAUACCAAGUUUGUCACGACCCAAACCAGGGCCUGGCCGUGAUGAGCAUUUCAAACCUUUGAGGCCCGAAACACACCUAUCUGUUUGGUAAUCAUGCACCUAAUUCAUAUUAUCAAAGUAAUGCGGAAGAAACACAAUAUGAUGGAAACAUGGUCAAGAAUCACAUGAAAACAAUAAUGGAGAAUAAUGUCCCACAAUCUUAAUCAACAUUUCAAAAAUCGUCUGCGAAAUCUCUACUACAUAACUGAAACAAGUAACUAUCUGAAAACUGGGACAAGGCCUCUAGUAGACCCAAAAAAAACUGAAUAUAAGAUAAAAGAACUGCAGGACUUAAGACCUUCCGAAACAUAGAAGGCUCACCACUUGUCUUUAUAGCUCUAUCUAAAAGUUCUACUGAUUCUCUUGACCCCUAGACUGGGCCUCUGAACUUGAGAGGUUGGAGAGGGGAGGGGGUCAGCACAAAAGUACUGGCACGCAAAGAUAUAAAAAAAACAUAAUAUUUUUACAAAGUAUAGUUAAGAGCCGUUAUAAAGAAAUUUCGUAUCAAAUCAUUUGAAAGCACAUGGGUGUAAUGCAAUAGUGUUUCUCAAUAAUAAUGAAAUGCAAUUGAGCUAGGUGGAAUACCUUACAUAAUUUACACCAACUGUCAAACCUCGGUUGCCGCCGAGAUUAGAGUAUAAGUGAGGGAGAGACACACAAGACCACAAAGCAUGGUGUCUUGACCCAAAUCAAAUAUGGUAGUGCACAAGACCACAAAGCAUGGCUCCUAACCAUAAUCCCAAUUUGGGAUAGUAUAAUAUCAGGUACGCAAGAUCACAAAGCAUGGUACCGAUAUUCCAUGUUGGCAAACACGUUCUUCCAGCGAUGAGCCGCUUGUGUCCCAAAUGCCUUCUUCUGGCAUCCACCUUUCUCAUGUAAAAUCAAUGCAUUCAAAUUUCAUCUUAUUCAAUCACAUAUCAUAUUUUGAAGGGUCUCGUCAUACCCGACUUACAAGUCAUCAAUAUCACAUCCACAUAUGCAUAAUCAUGCAAAAAUCAAGGUGCUUCAUUAUUUACAAGUGGUGAACAAUAUUUAUUUCAAAUUCAUGCUCUCUUUUGUUAAUCACAAUAUAAUAUGGAGUUUCAAAACAUUAUCAUGGAAAUUUGAAAACAAUUUAUCAUUCAUAUUUAUCAACUUUCAUGGAAAAUCUCAAAUCACAUAUGCAUGGUUUCAACCAUUGAAGUAUAUAGGCAAACAAUUCCCAUGACAUAAAGAAAAUGACUUAGAAAUCAUAUUGAAAGCAAGAUAUUAGCAUUUG